CUCCUACGGAGGCAGCAGUGGGGAAUCGUUGCACAAUGGACGAAAGUCUGAUGCAGCAACGCCGCGUGGGGGACGAAGGCUUUUCGGAGUGUAAACCCUUUCGACCCGGAAGAAUGCCCGCAAGGGUUUGACGGUACGGGUAUAAGAAGCCCGGCUAACUACGUGCCAGCCGCCGCGGUAAUAC
RNAcentral lists this ribosomal RNA (184 nucleotides) under uncultured bacterium. RNAcentral's name for it is "partial 16S ribosomal RNA". It matches the Rfam family "Bacterial small subunit ribosomal RNA", at positions 336 to 526 of the family's 1533-position model. The record is from RNAcentral.